RNAcentral lists this ribosomal RNA (877 nucleotides) under Acidimicrobiaceae bacterium. RNAcentral describes it as "bacterial SSU rRNA". It matches the Rfam family "Bacterial small subunit ribosomal RNA", at positions 1 to 892 of the family's 1533-position model. The record is from RNAcentral. Lineage: Bacteria; Bacillati; Actinomycetota; Acidimicrobiia; Acidimicrobiales; Acidimicrobiaceae.
UCGACGGAGAGUUUGAUCCUGGCUCAGGACGAACGCUGGCGGCGUGCUUAACACAUGCAAGUCGAACGAGGCAGCGGCCUUCGGGCCGUUGUCGAGUGGCGAACGGGUGAGUAACACGUGAGGAACCUGCCCCGGAGACCGGGAUAACCAGGGGAAACCCUGGCUAAUACCGGAUGCCCUCGGAUGGUCGCAUGGCCGACCGAGGAAAUGCUCAGGUGCUCCGGGAGGGCCUCGCGGCCUAUCAGCUAGUUGGCGGGGUAACGGCCCACCAAGGCAUCGACGGGUAGCUGGUCUGAGAGGACGAUCAGCCACACUGGGACUGAGACACGGCCCAGACUCCUACGGGAGGCAGCAGUGGGGAAUAUUGCGCAAUGGGCGAAAGCCUGACGCAGCAACGCCGCGUGAGGGAUGACGGCUUUCGGGUUGUAAACCUCUUUCAGUGAUGACGAAAAUGACGGUAGUCACAGAAGAAGCUCCGGCCAACUACGUGCCAGCAGCCGCGGUAACACGUAGGGAGCGAGCGUUGUCCGGAUUUAUUGGGCGUAAAGAGCUCGUAGGCGGUUUCGUAAGUCGGAUGUGAAAACUCAGGGCUCAACCCUGAGACGCCAUCUGAUACUGCGAUGACUAGAGUCCGGUAGAGGAGCAUGGAAUUCCUGGUGUAGCGGUGGAAUGCGCAGAUAUCAGGAGGAACACCAACGGCGAAGGCAGUGCUCUGGGCCGGUACUGACGCUGAGGAGCGAAAGCAUGGGGAGCAAACAGGAUUAGAUACCCUGGUAGUCCAUGCCGUAAACGUUGGGCACUAGGUGUGGGGUCUUCUAACGGAUUCCGUGCCGUAGCUAACGCAUUAAGUGCCCCGCCUGGGGAGUACGGCCGCAAG